AAAUGCGAUCGCAUUGUGAAUUGCAGAUUUCAGUGAACCAUCAGAUUUCCGAACGCAUAUGGCGCUGUGGGGACUUCCCCGCAGCACGUCUGUUUCAGUGUCUUU
RNAcentral lists this ribosomal RNA (105 nucleotides) under Eimeria ellipsoidalis. RNAcentral describes it as "partial 5.8S rRNA". It matches the Rfam family "5.8S ribosomal RNA", at positions 51 to 154 of the family's 154-position model. From Rfam's summary of the family: 5.8S ribosomal RNA (5.8S rRNA) is a component of the large subunit of the eukaryotic ribosome. The record is from RNAcentral. Lineage: Eukaryota; Apicomplexa; Conoidasida; Eucoccidiorida; Eimeriidae.